CAGCAGCCACGGGAAUACGUAGGGUGCAAGCGUUAAUCGGAAUUACUGGGCGUAAAGCGUGCGCAGGCGGUUAGAUAAGCCAGAUGUGAAAUCCCCGAGCUCAACUUGGGAACUGCGUUUGGAACUGUUUAACUAGAGUGCGUCAGAGGGGGGUGGAAUUCCGCGUGUAGCAGUGAAAUGCGUAGAGAUGCGGAGGAACACCGAUGGCGAAGGCAGCCCCCUGGGAUGACACUGACGCUCAUGCACGAAAGCGUGGGGAGCAAACAGGAUUAGAUACCCCUGUAGUCCCUGUCUCUUAUAC
RNAcentral lists this ribosomal RNA (301 nucleotides) under uncultured bacterium. RNAcentral describes it as "partial 16S ribosomal RNA". It matches the Rfam family "Bacterial small subunit ribosomal RNA", at positions 509 to 807 of the family's 1533-position model. The record is from RNAcentral.